This 18-nucleotide non-coding RNA is filed under the name Arabidopsis thaliana (thale cress). Lineage: Eukaryota; Viridiplantae; Streptophyta; Magnoliopsida; Brassicales; Brassicaceae. The record is from RNAcentral.
UACAACGUGCUUUGAUGG